This is a long non-coding RNA of Aegilops tauschii subsp. strangulata, 1074 nucleotides long. RefSeq lists it as uncharacterized. NCBI's taxonomy places the organism in Eukaryota, Viridiplantae, Streptophyta, Magnoliopsida, Poales, Poaceae. The record is from RefSeq and is a predicted model, not a curated record.
CAUGUUCUAUCAGUGAAAGGAUUGGAGACUGGUUCUAGUAGUGGUGGUUUGUUUGAUGAAUUUCUAGUGCCCAUGAUUUGCAAAGGGUUUCAGCCAGUACUGGCGUCUAGCAACCUUGAAGCCCACAGUUGACCUGCCUCCUAAUUUGUGUGAUGAGCAAAUGUGUAGAUUGUGUGUGUAAAUCGGAGAUGCCUUGGGUUAUGCCCUCGGAGAAGAUGGAUUGGUCUUGGUGAACGAGGUGGAGGUGAUCGAAGAGGCAAUAUGCUUAUAAAUCAUCUUCACAUCGGGUAUAUUUUUCUCGGCUAUGGGUGUACAUGAUAUGUUUGCCAAAACACUUGCAAAUUAUGGCACACUUACUGUGUUGCAAGAUGUCCUAUAAGGCUAUUAAGGCAGAUGAUCUUCUUUUCUCCAUUGUCCAAUAUUGAAGCUUUUGUUGCCCAUCAGCAUACACCUCAUCCAGGUUCAUUUCCUAUAUACUAGUUAGAUACUGCUUCAUAGUUGCUCUAGGUCUACUUUGAUUAGCGUCAUCUACUUGUCCCAUCAUCGACAAGGUUAUAUGAUUGCGAGAGAUUAAUAACUUUUGUGAUACGCGUUCAUUUAUUAACUAAAUCAUCAGCUUGCUCAAUAAUACUUUUGGGUACUCGUGUGGUGUUUAUGGCUGAUGAAAUACGCUUUGUUUAAUAGGACUGGAGACAUUUCUGAUGCUUAGGUCAAAACACCGGACCUAUUUCUUAUUUGUUUGUAAACUCAGUCCAGUAAUACAAGUUAGCAUUUUGUCUUAAUUGUUCUUGGAAUUAAAAAGGAAACCUUCUUGUUGUUCGUUCUACACCACUAAUCUGUUUAGCCAUCCUUGAGAAAGGCUCGACGGUUGGACGUGAAAACUAUAUUUGUUCUCCUUUUGCUUCUCUGGUUUAGUUUUAAAUUUAAUCUGGGUUGGCUGUUUGCAAUUGAAAAAAUGUUUGUUUCAUGGCUUCCUGUAAAUGUUGUUAGGCACUGUAGAAGCAGAAAUUUAGAAGGGAAUCACAUUACGGAAGAAGGUUCAUAGGAAUGGAGCAUCACUCCUUAGCACGUCUA